Molecule: ribosomal RNA, 216 nt
Filed under: uncultured bacterium
Lineage: Bacteria
Description: partial 16S ribosomal RNA
Rfam family: Bacterial small subunit ribosomal RNA
Source: RNAcentral
UCUCAGUUCGGAUUGCAGGCUGCAACUCGCCUGUAUGAAGUCGGAAUUGCUAGUAAUCGUGGAUCAGCAUGCCACGGUGAAUACGUUCCCGGGCCUUGUACACACCGCCCGUCACACCAUGAGAGCCGGGAACACCCGAAGUCCGUAGUCUAACCUAUAUGGAGGACGCGGCCGAAGGUGGGUUUGGUAAUUGGGGUGAAGUCGUAACAAGGUAUC